GAUGAACGCUGACAGAAUGCUUAACACAUGCAAGUCUACUUGAUCCUUCGGGUGAAGGUGGCGGACGGGUGAGUAACGCGUAAAGAACUUGCCUUACAGACUGGGACAACAUUUGGAAACGAAUGCUAAUACCGGAUAUUAUGACUGAGUCGCAUGAUUUGGUUAUGAAAGCUAUAUGCGCUGUGAGAGAGCUUUGCGUCCCAUUAGUUAGUUGGUGAGGUAACGGCUCACCAAGACGAUGAUGGGUAGCCGGCCUGAAGGGUGAACGGCCACAAGGGGACUGAGACACGGCCCUUACUCCUACGGGAGGCAGCAGUGGGGAAUAUUGGACAAUGGACCAAAAGUCUGAUCCAGCAAUUCUGUGUGCACGAUGAAGUUUUUCGGAAUGUAAAGUGCUUUCAGUUGGGAAGAAGUCAGUGACGGUACCAACAGAAGAAGCGACGGCUAAAUACGUGCCAGCAGCCGCGGUAAUACGUAUGUCGCAAGCGUNAUCCGGAUUUAUUGGGCGUAAAGCGCGUCUAGGCGGUUAGUAAGUCUGAUGUGAAAAUGCGGGGUCAACCCGUAUUGCGUUGGACACUGUANAUAGAGUACUGGAGAGGUAGGCGGAAUACAAGUGUAAAGGUGAAA
This 627-nucleotide ribosomal RNA is filed under the name uncultured Fusobacteriota bacterium. RNAcentral's name for it is "bacterial SSU rRNA". It matches the Rfam family "Bacterial small subunit ribosomal RNA", at positions 28 to 686 of the family's 1533-position model. The record is from RNAcentral. Lineage: Bacteria; Fusobacteriati; Fusobacteriota.